RNAcentral lists this long non-coding RNA (1776 nucleotides) under Salmo salar (Atlantic salmon). Its description in RNAcentral is "lncRNA (ENSSSAG00000092848.1)". Lineage: Eukaryota; Metazoa; Chordata; Actinopteri; Salmoniformes; Salmonidae. The record is from RNAcentral.
CAGAAGUUUACAUACACUCAAUUAGUAUUUGGUAGCAUUGCCUUUUAAUUGUUUAACUUGGGUCAAACGUUUUGGGUAGCCUUCCACAAGCUUCCCACAAUAAGUUGGGUGAAUUUUGUCCCAUUCCUCCUGACAGAGCUGGUGUAACUGAGUCAGGUUUGUAGGCCUCCUUGCUCGCACACGCUUUUUCAGUUCUGCCCACAAAUUUUCUAUAGAAUUGAGGUCAGGGCUUUGUGAUGGCCACUCCAAUACCUUGACUUUGUUGUCCUUAAGCCAUUUUGCCACAACUUUGGAGGUAUGCUUGAGGUCAUUGUCCAUCUGGAAGACCCAUUUGCGACCAAGCUUUAACUUCCUGACUGAUGUCUUGAGAUGUUGCUUUAAUAUAUCCACAUAAUUUUCCUACCUCAUGAUGCCAUCUAUUUUGUGAAGUGCACCAGUCCCUCCUGCAGCAAAGCACCCCCACAACAUGAUGCUGCCCCCCCCAUGCUUCACGGUUGUGAUGGUGUUCUUCGGCUUGCAAGCCUCCCCCUUUUUACUCCAAACAUAACGAUGGUCAUUAUGGCCAAACAGUUCUAUUUUUGUUUCAUCAGACCAGAGGACAUUUCUCCAAAAAGUACGAUCUUUGUCCCCAUGUGCAGUUGCAAACCAUAGUCUGGCUUUUUUAUGGCGGUUUUGGAGCAGUGGCUUCUUCCUUGCUGAGAGGCCUUUCAGGUUAUGUCAAUAUAGGAGUCGUUUUAUGGAGGAUAUAGAUACUUUUGUACCUGUUUCCUCCAGCAUCUUCACAAGGUCCUUUGCUGUUGUUCUGGCAUUGAUUUGCACUUUUCGCAUCAAAGUACGCUCUAGGAGACAGUACGCAUCUCCUUCCUGAGCGGUAUGACAGCUGUGUGUUCCCAUGGUGUUUAUACUUGCGUACUAUUGUUUGUACAGAUGAAUGUGGUACCUUCAGACGUUUGAAAUUGCUCCCAAGGAUGAACCAGACUUGUGGAGGUCUACAAUUUUUUUUCUGAGGUCUUGGCUCGUUUGAUUUCCCCAUGAUGUCAAGCAAAGAGGCAAUGAGUUUGAAGGUAGGCCUUGAAAUACAUCCACAGGUACACCUCCAAUUGACUCAAAUGAUGUAAAUUAGCCUAUCAGAAGCUUCUAAAGCCAUGACAUCCUUUUCUGGAAUUGUCCCGAUGGCAGCCUCCCCUGUCCUCUGGAGGGCUAGCAGGGUAUACGUGUGCUGGUCUGGACAUCUCUCAGAGGGCAGGAUCUGUCUCAGCCCCAUCUGGGUGAAGACCAAAUGGAACGCCCGUGGAACCGGGGCCUUCAGGUUCCAGAUAAAGCGUGUUGGAAAAGACUCCUAUGACUGAGGGAGUGGGUAGGGAGAUGAUCGAUGUCAACAGCUUGACUCCUCUUCCACGUCUGUGAGCUACGGCCUACUGAACAAACAUAGGCCUGGCCGUUCAACAGUUCAAACUGCCAUAUAUCUGUGAUGCUGUACCCAUAAACGUCCUUAUCUUUAGAUAAUCACUCUCUUCCUCUCCCUCUCUCUCUGAAGCACACACACAAGCACUCUCUCUCUCCUUCUAUCUGUCUGACUUAAGCUUUCCCCAAAACCUUACCUAGUAACAUAGCCGAGAUAUAAUCUGAUUGUGUGACUGUUUGACAAUGGAGAUGUUACUGGGAAGCCCUGUUUGUCCCUCGCUGUUACAUGUACAGCUAUUACAGUCCAGCUGUCACUGUUGACACUGGGAUAAGACGCGUAAGCAACAACUUACGGGGGCUUGACUAAACAUU